UACGGAGGAUGCGAGCGUUAUCCGGAUUUAUUGGGUUUAAAGGGUGCGUAGGCGGACGCUUAAGUCAGCGGUAAAAUUGCGGGGCUCAACCUCGUCGAGCCGUUGAAACUGGGUGCCUUGAGUGGGCGAGAAGUACGCGGAAUGCGUGGUGUAGCGGUGAAAUGCAUAGAUAUCACGCAGAACUCCGAUUGCGAAGGCAGCGUACCGGCGCCCAACUGACGUUGAGGCUCGAAAGCGUGGGGAGCAAACAGG
Molecule: ribosomal RNA, 252 nt
Filed under: uncultured bacterium
Lineage: Bacteria
Description: partial 16S ribosomal RNA
Rfam family: Bacterial small subunit ribosomal RNA
Source: RNAcentral